RNAcentral lists this long non-coding RNA (232 nucleotides) under Elaeis guineensis (African oil palm). RNAcentral describes it as "long non-coding RNA (EGUI_LNC054362)". The record is from RNAcentral. Lineage: Eukaryota; Viridiplantae; Streptophyta; Magnoliopsida; Arecales; Arecaceae.
CCCAGAUAUGUUCUUCUCUAAGCUCGAAACUCUAUCUUAAAACUCUACUAAAAUUUUUGCUCGAGUACUCCAUUUCUGUUGAAGCAGAGUACUGACUUGAGCAUCGGAGAAUCUUGCCAGAGCACCCCCAACUCUGAUUUAGACUUCCCUUACAGGUCCCGAUGGCGGCCACGGUCAUCUCAGCUCCAGCUUCUCCAGCUUCGAUGGAAUUCUGCACCAACAGAAUUGGUGC